UACGGAGGGCGCGAGCGUUACCCGGAUUUACUGGGCGUAAAGGGCGUGUAGGCGGCUUGGGGCGUCCCAUGUGAAAGGCCACGGCUCAACCGUGGAGGAGCGUGGGAUACGCUCAGGCUAGACGGUGGGAGAGGGUGGUGGAAUUCCCGGAGUAGCGGUGAAAUGCGCAGAUACCGGGAGGAACGCCGAUGGCGAAGGCAGCCACCUGGCUCACUGGUGACGAUGAGGCGCGAAAGAGUGGGGAGCAAACCGG
This 253-nucleotide ribosomal RNA is filed under the name uncultured bacterium. RNAcentral's name for it is "partial 16S ribosomal RNA". It matches the Rfam family "Bacterial small subunit ribosomal RNA", at positions 524 to 776 of the family's 1533-position model. The record is from RNAcentral.